CCCCACAAAUGUGGGACCGCAAACAAAACCCCACAACAGCACCCCAAACAUACGGGGCGGUGAGGGGCACCCCAUAACCACCCCAUACAUAUGGGGACACGGAGGGAGCCCUAUAACCCCCACCCUAUAAAUAUGGGAUCACUGAGGGACCCCCCACAGCCACCCUAUAGAUAUAGGAUCAGUGAGGGACCCCCAUAACCACCCCAUACAUAUGGAGACACUGAGGGACCCCAUAACCCCCACCCUAUAGAUAUGGGGGCAGCCAAGGAAACCCCGUAACCACCCCAUAGAUAUGGGGACACUUAGAGACCCCAUAACCCCCACCCCAUAGAUAUGGGGGCAGCCAAGGAAACCCCGUAACCACCCCAUACAUAUGGGGACACUUAGAGAACCUACAACCCCCACCCCACAGAUAUGGGGUCAAUGAGGGACACCCCAAAACCCCCAUCCCAUAGAUAUGGGGUCAGUGAGGGACACCCCAAAAACCAUGACCCCAUAGAUAUGGGGAUGCUGAGGGACACCCCAUAACCCCACCCCAUAGAUUUGGAGUCAGCCAAGGAAACCCCACAACCACCCCAUACAUAUCGGGACACGGAGGGAGCCCUAUAACCCCCACCCGAUAAAUAUGGGAUCACUGAGGGAGCCCCCACAGCCACCCCAUAGAUAUAGGAUCAGUGAAGGAAACCCCAUAACCACCCCAUAGAUAUGGGGACACUGAGAGAACCCCAUAAUCCCCGCCCCAUAGAUAUGGGAUCAAUGAGAACCCCAUAACCAUCCCAUAAAUAUGGGGACACUUAGAGACCCCAUAACCCCCACCCCAUAGAUAUGGGGUCAAUGAGGAACACCCUAUAACCCCCACCGCAUUGAUAUGGGGUCAGCCAAGGAAACCCCAUAACCGCCCCAUAGAUACGGGGUCAAUGAGAGACCCCAAAGCCCCCACCCCAUAGAUAUGGGGUCAAUGAGGGACACCCCAGAACCCCCACCCCAUACAUAUGGGGUCAGCCAAGGAAACCCCAUAACCACCCCAUAGAUAUGGGGUCAAUCAGAGACCCCAUAACCCCCACCCCAUAGAUAUGGGGAUGCUGAGGGACCCCACAAGCCCCACCCUAUAAAUAUGGGGUCACUGAGGUACCCCCCAUAACUCCCACCCCAUAGAUAUGGGGUCAGCGAAGGAAACCCCAUAACUACCCCAUAGA
RNAcentral lists this long non-coding RNA (1196 nucleotides) under Phasianus colchicus (ring-necked pheasant). Its description in RNAcentral is "lncRNA (ENSPCLG00000018887.1)". The record is from RNAcentral. Lineage: Eukaryota; Metazoa; Chordata; Aves; Galliformes; Phasianidae.